AAUGAUGAGACUCCGAUUAUAUGUAUUGUGCCACAGAGCAAAGGAGCCGACUCAAAGAUUUUCGUUUCUCUCUGUCCGUCCAUAGUCUAGAUUUUCCUUUAUGUUCAUUGUAUGUAUACAUAUGUAUGGCCUUUUGUACGGGUGAGUUGUAUUGCUGAGUUAAUCAGAACUCCAUUAAAAGUUAUUUUGGUAUCAGAGCCCUUAGAUUCAAAGCUCUAGUUGCAUCAUGAAGCUAUGGAACCAAAGAGCUAACCUCUGAGCCUCUGUUUAUUCUCUUAACACCAACCUGUCACUGUCGGUUAAUGAAGGAUUCUCCACGGAAGGGCAUAAUGACUCCAUUGCUUUCAACCUACGGAUUGCUCGAUCACGUCGAAGGUCGAGCCAUUGCACCAAGCAAGACUACUGCAGGAGCUGAUGGAAAGGAUGUACCGAAUCCAGAGUAUCUGAAGUGGCAGUGAAGGGACAACUUUGCCCUCACCUCUGUGCUUGCCAUCACAGAGGAGAUUGGAGUAACCGUUCUGUCUGCUACAACAUCUUAGGAAGGGUGGAGUUUUCCUUGAAACAUCGUUCCCCACAAACCGCAACCUAGGAGGAUCUUCUUGACCAACAGUGGCGCGACUUGAAGAAAGGAACUCAAUCGAUGGCCAAGUUCAUCGGAUUAGUCAAGGAGUAGGCCCUUAUGCCCAGAUUGGGAAACCAAAGACUCCCGCUGAGAUUAUCGCCGGAUUUAUACCGGUCUCGGUCCUGACUAGGAGCCUAUCGUUCUUGCUCAAUCCGAACGUAUGCUCACAAUUAGUACGAAUGAGCUCCAAUUCUUGCUAGUCGGCCACGAAGAGAGUCGUAGCUAUGCUGCAAACCAAGGAUCGCAGAUAAACUCCUCCGCUGCUGCUCUUGCUAACGCACCUCUCUCCGGAAUUCUGGCCCCUUUCCGGCCGAAAUUCAUUACACAAAUGGGCGCAACAAUGACUGCAACAAGAACGGCCAAAGUUAUGGUCGUGGCAAAGGAAAGAGAAGAGGGAAAGGCAACGAGAAGGGUUCCUCUGAUCGUGGGAGUAGCUCCGGCAAUGGUGGCAGCCCUACACAUAGAGCUAAAGGACAGUCGGGUGGACAAGGCAAACCCAACUUCGGGUUUAAUGUCUUUUCGGGUCAAUUAUACCCGGGUCCGACCCGUGACCCACGACCUCAUCAAGGCAAUAGCUUCGGACCCCCUUCUUUGCUCGGCCCAAUCCAAUCCCCUAUGGUGUCCGAGGCCCAAUCUCUUUCAGCCCGUUUCAGAACCGGUCCAACUCCUCGGUUCUUUGUCAAACCUGCAACUGGCCCGGGCAUAGUGCUACAUUUAUUCAAUUUAACCAGUUUUCUGCUGCUCCGGCUCUUCUGACCCAUGGCUCCCCUUCGGGACUUCAUGAUACUGGCUGGUAUAUGGACUCAAGUGCUACACACCAUAUUACCUCAAACCUGUCUAAUCUUAGUCUCUGUGAUGACAUCCCAAAUUCAGAUAAUGUUUUUGUGAGUGAUGGAUACUCAUACACGCCGAGAGCUUAUGCGUGGCCCAGUUAAAGACGGACUUUACUGCUUUCAUCCAAGACACAGGCGCACCGAUAGUCCUCAGGCUCAUCCCUCUCCAUCUGGUUCAAGUGUCUUUGUGGCGUCAAUGCCUUGGUCACUCGUCUUUCCCUAUUGUUCGUCGUGUCUUAAGUUCUCGUUCUCUCAAUAAUGAUCAUGUUGGUCAUAUAUGUCUUGCAUGUCAACAAGGGAAAUUAAUAAACACAUCUUUUUCGCCUACUCUUAAUAAAGCAACCUCUUUGUUUGA
Molecule: non-coding RNA, 1810 nt
Organism: Punica granatum (pomegranate)
Lineage: Eukaryota; Viridiplantae; Streptophyta; Magnoliopsida; Myrtales; Lythraceae
Source: RefSeq, a predicted model, not a curated record